This is a long non-coding RNA of Ornithorhynchus anatinus (platypus), 224 nucleotides long. RefSeq lists it as uncharacterized. NCBI's taxonomy places the organism in Eukaryota, Metazoa, Chordata, Mammalia, Monotremata, Ornithorhynchidae. The transcript has 2 exons. The record is from RefSeq and is a predicted model, not a curated record.
GGGCACCAUUGUCUCCACUCCUCAUCUCCAAUCACAGGCCCCAGCAGGGGGGAAUCGAGAAAGGAGGAAAACUUCAAAGAAACUCAUGGCAGGGGGAAGAACCUGAAAUGACCGACUCGGUGUAGGUCCACCUCGUGCCAACGUUGGCAGUAUACACAGACCCCUUGGAGGUUUCUUGGCUCCGAGGAUCAUCCAGAUGUGACGGGAAUAAAAAUGGAAACCAA